CUGUGGGUGUCUCUAUACUGAUGCCGUGGGAGUAGAGGCAGUUCAAACACUGUGGUUUGUCAGAGACAGAACUAUGCAUUACCACAGUAACGUCUAACAGUGUGAGUGUGGCCAUAAGUCACGUAACUAAAGCACUGUUUGUUCCCAUUUGGCCAUAUUUGCAUGGAAGGGUUCCACCCACCAACGAGCCAAAACUUCAGUGUGGCCUGGGACAAAUGUGCUCAAUUAUCCGAAUAUUCCAAGGACUGGAAAUGUCUCGGUCUUCCCUUGCAUACAGUAACUGGAUUCCAGAAUUCUCUGAGUAAACUGGAAAAGCAAAACUAACUGUAUUGGACAUGUACCAUCUGGAACGAAAUGGUUACCAAUAUUCAGUUGCUCUAAAAACGCUUCAAAUGUCAUUUGAUCUCAUUAUGGCACAAUCAAAAGGACAGUAAAAAUAUUUAAUGUGUUAUUAAA
Molecule: long non-coding RNA, 456 nt
Organism: Alosa sapidissima (American shad)
Lineage: Eukaryota; Metazoa; Chordata; Actinopteri; Clupeiformes; Clupeidae
Exons: 2
Source: RefSeq, a predicted model, not a curated record